This 458-nucleotide ribosomal RNA is filed under the name Fusarium subglutinans. RNAcentral's name for it is "eukaryotic LSU rRNA". The stretch from base 119 to 272 matches the Rfam family "5.8S ribosomal RNA". RNAcentral also lists the same sequence under 1 other name. Lineage: Eukaryota; Fungi; Ascomycota; Sordariomycetes; Hypocreales; Nectriaceae. The record is from RNAcentral.
CAUACCAAUUGUUGCCUCGGCGGAUCAGCCCGCUCCCGGUAAAACGGGACGGCCCGCCAGAGGACCCCUAAACUCUGUUUCUAUAUGUAACUUCUGAGUAAAACCAUAAAUAAAUCAAAACUUUCAACAACGGAUCUCUUGGUUCUGGCAUCGAUGAAGAACGCAGCAAAAUGCGAUAAGUAAUGUGAAUUGCAGAAUUCAGUGAAUCAUCGAAUCUUUGAACGCACAUUGCGCCCGCCAGUAUUCUGGCGGGCAUGCCUGUUCGAGCGUCAUUUCAACCCUCAAGCCCCCGGGUUUGGUGUUGGGGAUCGGCGAGCCCUUGCGGCAAGCCGGCCCCGAAAUCUAGUGGCGGUCUCGCUGCAGCUUCCAUUGCGUAGUAGUAAAACCCUCGCAACUGGUACGCGGCGCGGCCAAGCCGUUAAACCCCCAACUUCUGAAUGUUGACCUCGGAUCAGGUA